GACGAACGCUGGCGGCGUGCUUAACACAUGCAAGUCGAACGGAAAGGCCCUGCUUUUGCGGGGUGCUCGAGUGGCGAACGGGUGAGUAACACGUGAGUAACCUGCCCUUGACUUUGGGAUAACUUCAGGAAACUGGGGCUAAUACCGGAUAGGAUCUCCUGCUGCAUGGUGGGGGUUGGAAAGUUUCGGCGGUUGGGGAUGGAAUCGCGGCUUAUCAGCUUGUUGGUGGGGUAGUGGUUUACCAAGGCUUUGACGGGUAGCCGGCCUGGGAGGGUGACCGGCCACAUUGGGACUGAGAUACGGCCCAGACUCCUACGGGAGGCAGCAGUGGGGAAUAUUGCGCAAUGGGCGGAAGCCUGAUGCAGCAACGCCGCGUGCGGGAUGACGGCCUUCGGGUUGUAAACCGCUUUCGCCUGUGACGAAGCGUGAGUGACGGUAAUGGGUAAAGAAGCACCGGCUAACUACGUG
RNAcentral lists this ribosomal RNA (468 nucleotides) under uncultured bacterium. RNAcentral describes it as "partial 16S ribosomal RNA". It matches the Rfam family "Bacterial small subunit ribosomal RNA", at positions 28 to 507 of the family's 1533-position model. The record is from RNAcentral.